Molecule: long non-coding RNA, 502 nt
Organism: Phacochoerus africanus (Common warthog)
Lineage: Eukaryota; Metazoa; Chordata; Mammalia; Artiodactyla; Suidae
Exons: 4
Source: RefSeq, a predicted model, not a curated record
GCUGGCAUCAGACCCCAAGAAUCAUCAUUCUCCAUAGUCAUCCAGAGCCCCGGGCAGGACCACGCAGCAUAUCAGAAAUGAGAACUUCAUUCACCCUGCAGCCUGGUAAAACCCGGUGGCAUGCCUGCAGAUGCCACAAGCUGUUAGCAAAUCUCUUCAAUUCUAUGAUCACCAGGAACCUACUAUCCUGCCUCUUGGGUUGAAGCAGCAGAUGUCUGAAGCUGAGAGCUGGGUGUCUUGGUCCUGUGGGGGACUUUCAGGCAUCACCAUGGAAAGUUUUAUACAUUCGUCAUCAAGAUCCCACCCUCUAAUCCUGUCUCCUGGAAGUCCAAGAUGGAACAAGACUCCCAGAUGAAAUCAGCAACACUCUCAUUGAAGCAGAAGCGGGGACCCAGAAUUUGGCCUCUGCUCCACCCACCCCCAGCCCCAUGAAGGAAGCCUAGAAAUGCAAAGGACACCAUCUGGAAAACCAGCACCCAAACAUCUAAAGUGUGGCAGUGUC